RNAcentral lists this long non-coding RNA (315 nucleotides) under Ananas comosus (pineapple). RNAcentral's name for it is "long non-coding RNA (ACOM_LNC032945)". The record is from RNAcentral. Lineage: Eukaryota; Viridiplantae; Streptophyta; Magnoliopsida; Poales; Bromeliaceae.
AUAAAGUCCAUAUUAUGUGUAUGUGUAUACAUAUUUAUGUUAGAUAUGGCCUAUGUGAUUUAUUUAAAGCAUUUAUAAAGAUAUAAUCGAUAUAUUCAAAACGAUCUAUAAAGAUACGGUCGAUCUAACGAUUAAGAUGUAUCUGGACAUGCGCUUGAUGAGUGGACGUGAUUACAUAUUCUUACAUUAGGUUAUGCAUAUAUAUAACAUACGGAAGUUCUGAUCUAUCUCUAAUCCUAAUUUUCUGUGAUGGCUUCAUGUCCGGAGAUAAAAGGAAUAGACUCGAAACAUCUCGCUUUUUUACAAAUCGUAAAC